CAGGCCUGAAGGUCCACACAGGGCAGGCCCCUGGCCCAGAGAGAGAACAGGUAUCUGGAACACUUCUGCCCUUAACUUUAUGCUCUCCCCAGGGACAGAGCCCUAGAGGUGUCCUUUAACCAGUAGCUCUGACGCUUCUAUUUUUCUAAAGGAGAAGGGUGGAAGAGAACUGGUUCCCGCCCUCAGACGCACCCAGUAUGACUGAGCCACAUCUUCAGAGAGGCCCCGAUCUGGAACUACGUGGAGACACAGAAGACAGGCACAGAGGGGCCCAUACACCUGAGCGAGGCCCACCCCAUCUGGGAUCCUGCAGUCUCACUUUGAACCCUCUGCCCUUUGCUCUCCCUUGGCUUCUUCUGCGCUCUUUUCCACUUCAGGACCCUUCACGUAUGCUGUUCCCUCUGCCCAGAAUACUCUCCCGCUCAUCAACUAAAUAGCCAUCAAGCUGGAGCACCUCCACCACUGCUUCCAUCUUCAGAUAAACAAGGAUCUGCCACCCCCUGCAACUCGGUCACAUUUGCCACAGUUUCAAUGGUCUUCCCUGCCAGCCAUGCAUAAGGGACCAGAGUGGUGGUGCCCGUGUCCCUGCCUCUGUGCUCCCAGAC
Molecule: long non-coding RNA, 605 nt
Filed under: Fukomys damarensis (Damara mole-rat)
Lineage: Eukaryota; Metazoa; Chordata; Mammalia; Rodentia; Bathyergidae
Description: lncRNA (ENSFDAG00000028754.1)
Source: RNAcentral